GGACAAGUCACGGAAGACAAAGAGCAGCGCUGACCCCUCGAGAACCCGCCCCACCCCGCGCCGCAGCAGGCCGGGUGGGGCCGAGCCUCCCACGUGAGAUCUUACACGUAGGCCCGGGCUGGGAGCACCCGCCCCACGGAGCGGACCGGGCCUGGGGCGGAGGGCGGGGGCCGGGGCUGCUGUGCUGCGCCCGAGCACGUACCGGGGCGUGGCCUGCAGCGCGGCGGGCGGGGUUUGGGGAAGUUUCUCCCGACGGCUUGUGUUUCGCAUCCUCAUCAUGUAGUACCAGCGGCACCACGGACAUUAGGGGUGGUCGGUCCCCUCCGCAUCCUUGUUAUUUUCCCCGCUGAGGGGGCUGUCUGAUCACUGCUGCUCUCAGGCACCUGUCUUUCCUCUCCGUCCCGGGAUGGAUCCGAGACAAGGGAAUAAAGGAAAUUAAAUAGUACGAGGAGAUCGGGUGUCUGGGCAGCGUCUUGGAUAAAACCGCCCACUACAGGCUCAUUACGCCCCUGUAAAACAACUCACCAGCAUCCAGAAGUUUCCUCACACGCAAAUAGCUGAUGGUGAGCCUCAUAACAGAAGCCUUAUCGAGAUGUGAGCUCACAUUAUGGGGAAGUGGCAACUGAUGAGCAAGUUCAUAGAAAACUUCAGAUUCUUUACUUCGCCGAGAUCUCGCUGCAUCUCUAGACUUUUCUUUUCGACGUUCAGAACUUAUCCUAUUGAGCAAAAAAAGGAGGACAGAAAAAGAAAAUUUAUAUAAGUUAGCUUGCCUUUGCUUGGAUAAAACUAAUUUUACAUUUUUCUGCUUUCCAUAAAACAAUGUGAAGAUGCCAUGUAAUUAUACAGAGAUUGGUCUACUACAUGAACGUGUAAAGUAAGAAUGUAGGAGACAGAUACACAAAUUUCUGGAUUACUGAAGACAUAGGGAACUCUAACAAAGAAGUCCAAGAUGGAACUUUAAACCUGUCUGAAACAGGUAUUUCCUUCCUGGCAUAUCAAAUUAGAGAGGACAUUUUGUUUUAGCCAAAGUCUUAAAAGUAGCCUGUGUAUGUGCACCCUCAUAGCCAUUCAGAAGUAGUUUCAACAUAAAGAAAGCACCAUUAAGUCUAAAGAAACUAAAGCUGUACAUAUUAACUUGAAAACAGGAGUUGUUAAGCUGGCAGAACAGUUACAGCUACAAACUGAUUUUUGACUUGUUUCUUUGGACUCUGAUAUUUUCCCAACUUCUUCUACCCUACCACAUGAGCAAUACUGACUAUAAGCUAAAGAAAUCUAUAUUAGCAGCUAUAACAAGUUACCAUUUUCAGGUUGCUUAUUCCCUUAGCAGCCUCUUUAGCAGCCCUUUUUCUUUACUGGCACAAGUACCAAAUAAAGGCAGGAGUAUAGAAGAAAAAAAAAAAGAUGUGACACAAUACUAAGAAUUGAAAGAAACAGGUUAAUAAACAUUAACAAAGGUGUCAAAACAAGGAUAUAUCUUUAGGGAACUUUUCCAAGAAUAAAGUCAGAAAGAUUUUCCUAAGCAGAGACAUUCCCUUCCUUUGCUUGACUGUGUAGAAACAUCUAUUCCUCCUGACCCAGCUGGAGGAGGUAAACAAGGCUAACCCUGGUUCUGUCCUUAGCUUCUUUAAGAGCUGUUGUUUAUUAAAACCUACUAUGUGCCAAAUGUUACCCCGUACCAGGUGCCUAGUUCUCUCAAAAUUUGUAAAUAGGGUAAAUAUUAUCCUUUUUACAGAUGAGGUUAUACAGUAGGCUAAAAACAGCCAUUAGCAGACGGGAUUUGAACUCACAAGGUGUUUUUUUCACUCCCAAGUCUGUUUGCUCUUCCAGUGUUUUAUCUUAAGGAAGAAUGCUGCUUCUACCUCAAAUACUCAGCAUGCUCCUAUGACUUUCAACCUAAUUCUGUUAAGUCAAUUAUUUAUUAAAUGUUGAAAACGGCUGUUACCAUUUAUUAAGCACUUAGCACUAUGCUAAGGACUUUGUCAGCAUUCUAUCACUUAAUCCUCCUUACAUCCUAUGAAUGAAGCACAUAAUUGUAUCUACCUCAAAUCUCUCCUCCCUCCAAAUUAUCUGCAAAACUGCAAGGUUCAAUCAUAGAAGCAACACUCUCAAAAAAACAGGCAGGGUUCUCAGCACAUGCUCCCAUUAUGUUGAGUAACAGUUGUAUUGUGCAACAGUGAUAAUCUAGUUUUAACACUUAAAUUUGUGUGUGUAUCUGACUUUUAUACAUUAAUAAGGAAUGUGAAUAUUUGCUGUUGUUAGUAACUGAACUUUGAUACAAAUUUUUCAACUCAAGCAUCUAGAUCAAUUUUACUUGAGUAUUUUGAGAUUUAAGGUAAGCUAUUAAAAACUAUUACUAUUUAUAACUAG
This is a long non-coding RNA of Herpailurus yagouaroundi (jaguarundi), 2367 nucleotides long. RefSeq lists it as uncharacterized. The record is from RefSeq and is a predicted model, not a curated record. The transcript is spliced from 2 exons. NCBI's taxonomy places the organism in Eukaryota, Metazoa, Chordata, Mammalia, Carnivora, Felidae.